Molecule: ribosomal RNA, 101 nt
Filed under: Periophthalmus magnuspinnatus
Lineage: Eukaryota; Metazoa; Chordata; Actinopteri; Gobiiformes; Gobiidae
Source: RNAcentral
UCAAACCUCCUUGUCAAAGCCUGAUCUCAUCUGAGCUCAAAAGCUUACCAGGGUUGGGCCUGGUUAGUACCUGGAUGGGACACCGUUUGGAGUACCAGGUG